CGGAGUGAGAGCGUACACAGGUGCUGCAUGGCUGUCGUCAGCUCGUGUCGUGAGAUGUUGGGUUAAGUCCCGCAACGAGCGCAACCCUGCAUUCAGUUGCCAUCGGUAAGGCCGGGCACUCUGGAUGGACUGUCGGCGACAAGCCGGAGGAAGUGGGGACGACGUCAAGUCAUCAUGGCCCUUAUGUCCAGGGCGACACACGUGCUACAAUGGCCGGCACAACGGGAAGCGAAGGGGCGACCCUGAGCGGAUCCCAUAAAAGCCGGUCUCAGUUCGGAUUGCAGUCUGCAACUCGACUGCAUGAAGUUGGAAUCGCUAGUAAUCGUGGAUCAGCCAAGCCGCGGUGAAUACGUUCCCGGGCCUU
RNAcentral lists this ribosomal RNA (364 nucleotides) under uncultured Thermovirga sp. Its description in RNAcentral is "bacterial SSU rRNA". It matches the Rfam family "Bacterial small subunit ribosomal RNA", at positions 1018 to 1382 of the family's 1533-position model. Lineage: Bacteria; Thermotogati; Synergistota; Synergistia; Synergistales; Thermovirgaceae. The record is from RNAcentral.